AAUGGCGUAACGAGAUGGGAGCUGUCUCAAAGAGGGAUCCAGUGAAAUUGUAGUGGAGGUGAAAAUUCCUCCUACCCGCGGCAAGACGGAAAGACCCCGUGGACCUUUACUACAGCUUGACACUGCUACUUGGAUAAAGAUGCGCAGGAUAGGUGGGAGGCUUUGAUCCAUAGACCCUGGUUUAUGGUGAGCCAUUGUUGAGAUACCACUCUUCUUUAUUCGGGUAGCUAACUAGCCUAAGUUAUCCUUAGGUAGGACAAUGUCUGGUGGGUAGUUUGACUGGGGCGGUCGCCUCCCAAAAUGUAACGGAGGCUUACAAAGGUUGGCUCAGAACGGUUGGAAAUCGUUCGUAGAGUAUAAAGGCAUAAGCCAGCUUAACUGCGAGACAUACACGUCAAGCAGAGACGAAAGUCGGUCUUAGUGAUCCGGUGGUUCUGUGUGGAAGGGCCAUCGCUCAAAGGAUAAAAGGUACCC
RNAcentral lists this ribosomal RNA (474 nucleotides) under Campylobacter fetus subsp. testudinum. RNAcentral describes it as "bacterial LSU rRNA". It matches the Rfam family "Bacterial large subunit ribosomal RNA", at positions 1995 to 2468 of the family's 2925-position model. The record is from RNAcentral. Lineage: Bacteria; Pseudomonadati; Campylobacterota; Epsilonproteobacteria; Campylobacterales; Campylobacteraceae.